RNAcentral lists this ribosomal RNA (1562 nucleotides) under Salmonella enterica subsp. enterica. RNAcentral describes it as "partial 23S ribosomal RNA". It matches the Rfam family "Bacterial large subunit ribosomal RNA", at positions 711 to 2169 of the family's 2925-position model. Lineage: Bacteria; Pseudomonadati; Pseudomonadota; Gammaproteobacteria; Enterobacterales; Enterobacteriaceae. The record is from RNAcentral.
AGACCCGAAACCCGGUGAUCUAGCCAUGGGCAGGUUGAAGGUUGGGUAACACUAACUGGAGGACCGAACCGACUAAUGUUGAAAAAUUAGCGGAUGACCUGUGGCUGGGGGUGAAAGGCCAAUCAAACCGGGAGAUAGCUGGUUCUCCCCGAAAGCUAUUUAGGUAGCGCCUCGUGAAUUCAUCUCCGGGGGUAGAGCACUGUUUCGGCUAGGGGGCCAUCCCGGCUUACCAACCCGAUGCAAACUGCGAAUACCGGAGAAUGUUAUCACGGGAGACACACGGCGGGUGCUAACGUCCGUCGUGAAGAGGGAAACAACCCAGACCGCCAGCUAAGGUCCCAAAGUCAUGGUUAAGUGGGAAACGAUGUGGGAAGGCCCAGACAGCCAGGAUGUUGGCUUAGAAGCAGCCAUCAUUUAAAGAAAGCGUAAUAGCUCACUGGUCGAGUCGGCCUGCGCGGAAGAUGUAACGGGGCUAAACCAUGCACCGAAGCUGCGGCAGCGAACGUAUCACCCAAGACAACUUUGCGGAGUUGACGAUUGACGGAGCGAAGCGACGUCAAAGCGUUCAUUAAAGUCGAGUUGGCUUAGGGAUACGUUCGUUGGGUAGGGGAGCGUUCUGUAAGCCAGUGAAGGUGUGUCGUGAGGCAUGCUGGAGGUAUCAGAAGUGCGAAUGCUGACAUAAGUAACGAUAAAGCGGGUGAAAAGCCCGCUCGCCGGAAGACCAAGGGUUCCUGUCCAACGUUAAUCGGGGCAGGGUGAGUCGACCCCUAAGGCGAGGCCGAAAGGCGUAGUCGAUGGGAAACGGGUUAAUAUUCCCGUACUUGGUGUUACUGCGAAGGGGGGACGGAGAAGGCUAUGUUGGCCGGGCGACGGUUGUCCCGGUUUAAGCGUGUAGGUGUGUGUUCCAGGUAAAUCCGGUUCACUUUAACACUGAGGCGUGAUGACGAGGCACUACGGUGCUGAAGUAACAAAUGCCCUGCUUCCAGGAAAAGCCUCUAAGCAUCAGGUAACAUCAAAUCGUACCCCAAACCGACACAGGUGGUCAGGUAGAGAAUACCAAGGCGCUUGAGAGAACUCGGGUGAAGGAACUAGGCAAAAUGGUGCCGUAACUUCGGGAGAAGGCACGCUGACACGUAGGUGAAGUGAUUUACUCAUGGAGCUGAAGUCAGUCGAAGAUACCAGCUGGCUGCAACUGUUUAUUAAAAACACAGCACUGUGCAAACACGAAAGUGGACGUAUACGGUGUGACGCCUGCCCGGUGCCGGAAGGUUAAUUGAUGGGGUCAGCGCAAGCGAAGCUCCUGAUCGAAGCCCCGGUAAACGGCGGCCGUAACUAUAACGGUCCUAAGGUAGCGAAAUUCCUUGUCGGGUAAGUUCCGACCUGCACGAAUGGCGUAAUGAUGGCCAGGCUGUCUCCACCCGAGACUCAGUGAAAUUGAACUCGCUGUGAAGAUGCAGUGUACCCGCGGCAAGACGGAAAGACCCCGUGAACCUUUACUAUAGCUUGACACUGAACAUUGAGCCUUGAUGUGUAGGAUAGGUGGGAGGCUUUGAAGUGUGGAC